Molecule: ribosomal RNA, 496 nt
Filed under: uncultured bacterium
Lineage: Bacteria
Description: partial 16S ribosomal RNA
Rfam family: Bacterial small subunit ribosomal RNA
Source: RNAcentral
GAUGAACGCUAGCUACAGGCUUAACACAUGCAAGUCGAGGGGUAGCAGGGUAGCAAUACCGCUGACGACCAGCGCACGGGUAAGUAACACGUAUCCAACCUACCGUUUACUCGGGGAUAGCCUUUCGAAAGAAAGAUUAAUACCCGAUAGUAUAAAGAGUUCGCAUGUUCUCUUUAUUAAAGGAUUCCGGUAAAUGAUGGGAUGCGUUCCAUUAGAUUGUUGGCGGGGUAACGGCCCACCAAGUCUUCGAUGGAUAGGGGUUCUGAGAGGAAGGUCCCCCACAUUGGAACUGAGACACGGUCCAAACUCCUACAGGAGGCAGCAGUGAGGAAUAUUGGUCAAUGGGCGUUAGCCUGAACCAGCCAAGUAGCGUGAAGGAUGACUGCCCUAUGGGUUGUAAACUUCUUUUAUAAGGGAAUAAAACGGGGAACGUGUUCCCCUUUGCAUGUACCUUACGAAUAAGGAUCGGCUAACUCCGUGCCAGCCGCCGCGGUAA